RNAcentral lists this unclassified non-coding RNA (348 nucleotides) under soil metagenome. RNAcentral describes it as "partial contains 5.8S ribosomal RNA, internal transcribed spacer 2, and large subunit ribosomal RNA". The stretch from base 1 to 120 matches the Rfam family "5.8S ribosomal RNA", at positions 35 to 154 of the family's 154-position model. The record is from RNAcentral.
GAUGAAGAACGUAGCGAAAUGCGAUAAGUAAUGUGAAUUGCAGAAUUCAGUGAAUCAUCGAAUCUUUGAACGCACAUUGCGCCCGCCAGUAUUCUGGCGGGCAUGCCUGUCUGAGCGUCAUUUCAACCCUCACGCCCCUAGGGCGUGGUGUUGGGGAUCGGCCAAAGCCCGCGAGGGACGGCCGGCCCCUAAAUCUAGUGGCGGACCCGUCGUGGCCUCCUCUGCGAAGUAGUGAUAUUCCGCAUCGGAGAGCGACGAGCCCCUGCCGUUAAACCCCCAACUUUCCAAGGUUGACCUCAGAUCAGGUAGGAAUACCCGCUGAACUUAAGCAUAUCAAUAAGCGGAGGA